Callorhinus ursinus (northern fur seal) is the source of this 276-nucleotide long non-coding RNA. RefSeq lists it as uncharacterized. NCBI's taxonomy places the organism in Eukaryota, Metazoa, Chordata, Mammalia, Carnivora, Otariidae. The record is from RefSeq and is a predicted model, not a curated record.
GCCACUCCCCACAAAGAAGCCCUAGAGAAAAGGAUGCCUUAAAAGAAAACCACAGAAGAAAACCUUCAGUAAUGGGAAGAAUUGGGGAGAUUGAAAAGCAAUUCUAUCAGUUAUUUGCACUAUGAAAGGCCACAUCCAGCCAGAGGAACUUCAUAAAGGAUAAGGAAGCCACUGGGCGGUGAGACCAGCCGCCUUGGCCGGGAGCGCCGCGGAGAAGAGGAGGAUCCAAAAUACCUUACUCAAAUAUACAGAUUAAAUUAAUAUGCUUUUAAAUUA